Oncorhynchus kisutch (coho salmon) is the source of this 299-nucleotide unclassified non-coding RNA. It matches the Rfam family "Metazoan signal recognition particle RNA". From Rfam's summary of the family: The signal recognition particle (SRP) is a universally conserved ribonucleoprotein. It is involved in the co-translational targeting of proteins to membranes. The eukaryotic SRP consists of a 300-nucleotide 7S RNA and six proteins: SRPs 72, 68, 54, 19, 14, and 9. NCBI's taxonomy places the organism in Eukaryota, Metazoa, Chordata, Actinopteri, Salmoniformes, Salmonidae. The record is from Ensembl.
GCCGGGUGCGGUGGCAUGUGCCUGUAAUCCAAGUCACUGGGAGGCUGAGGUUGGUGGAUCAAGUGAGCUGAGGAGCUCUGGGCUGCAGCACACUAUGUUGAACGGGUGUCCACGCUAAGUACGGUAUCGAUAUGGUGUUCCAGGGGGAGCCCGGGACCACCAGGUUGUCUAAGGAGGGGUGAACCGGCCCAGGUCGGAAACUAAGCAGGUCAAAUCCCCCGUGCUGUCCAGUAGUUGGAUGAUACCUGUGAGUAGAUGCUGCAGUGCAGCCUUGGCAAAACAUCGAGACCUAAUCUUUU